AAUUUGGAGAGUUUGAUCCUGGCUCAGGACGAACGCUGGCGGCGUGCCUAAUACAUGCAAGUCGAGCG
This 68-nucleotide ribosomal RNA is filed under the name Paenibacillus sp. PL91. RNAcentral describes it as "partial 16S ribosomal RNA". It matches the Rfam family "Bacterial small subunit ribosomal RNA", at positions 1 to 68 of the family's 1533-position model. Lineage: Bacteria; Bacillati; Bacillota; Bacilli; Caryophanales; Paenibacillaceae. The record is from RNAcentral. RNAcentral also lists the same sequence under 1 other name.